RNAcentral lists this ribosomal RNA (472 nucleotides) under uncultured bacterium. RNAcentral's name for it is "bacterial SSU rRNA". It matches the Rfam family "Bacterial small subunit ribosomal RNA", at positions 355 to 825 of the family's 1533-position model. The record is from RNAcentral.
UGGGGAAUAUUGGACAAUGGGCGAAAGCCUGAUCCAGCCAUGCCGCGUGUGUGAAGAAGGUCUUCGGAUUGUAAAGCACUUUAAGUUGGGAGGAAGGGUUGUAGAUUAAUACUCUGCAAUUUUGACGUUACCGACAGAAUAAGCACCGGCUAACUCUGUGCCAGCAGCCGCGGUAAUACAGAGGGUGCAAGCGUUAAUCGGAAUUACUGGGCGUAAAGCGCGCGUAGGUGGUUUGUUAAGUUGGAUGUGAAAUCCCCGGGCUCAACCUGGGAACUGCAUCCAAAACUGACUGACUAGAGUAUGGUAGAGGGUGGUGGAAUUUCCUGUGUAGCGGUGAAAUGCGUAGAUAUAGGAAGGAACACCAGUGGCGAAGGCGACCACCUGGACUAAUACUGACACUGAGGUGCGAAAGCGUGGGGAGCAAACAGGAUUAGAUACCCACGUAGUCCCUGAGCGGGCUGGCAAGGCGCAU